This 508-nucleotide ribosomal RNA is filed under the name uncultured bacterium. RNAcentral describes it as "partial 16S ribosomal RNA". It matches the Rfam family "Bacterial small subunit ribosomal RNA", at positions 28 to 523 of the family's 1533-position model. The record is from RNAcentral.
GAUGAACGCUAGCUACAGGCUUAACACAUGCAAGUCGAGGGGAAACGAUAGAGAAAGCUUGCUUUUUCUAGGCGUCGACCGGCGCACGGGUGAGUAACGCGUAUCCAACCUGCCCAUCACUUGGGGAUAACCUUGCGAAAGUAAGACUAAUACCCAAUGAUAUCUCUAGAAGACAUCUGAAGGAGAUUAAAGAUUUAUCGGUGAUGGAUGGGGAUGCGUCUGAUUAGCUUGUUGGCGGGGUAACGGCCCACCAAGGCGACGAUCAGUAGGGGUUCUGAGAGGAAGGUCCCCCACAUUGGAACUGAGACACGGUCCAAACUCCUACGGGAGGCAGCAGUGAGGAAUAUUGGUCAAUGGGCGAGAGCCUGAACCAGCCAAGUAGCGUGCAGGAUGACGGCCCUAUGGGUUGUAAACUGCUUUUAUAAGGGAAUAAAGUGAGUCUCGUGAGACUUUUUGCAUGUACCUUAUGAAUAAGGACCGGCUAAUUCCGUGCCAGCCGCCGCGGUAA